GACGAACGCUGGCGGCGUGCUUAACACAUGCAAGUCGAACGGAAAGGCCCUGCUUUUGUGGGGUGCUCGAGUGGCGAACGGGUGAGUAACACGUGAGUAACCUGCCCUUGACUUUGGGAUAACUUCAGGAAACUGGGGCUAAUACCGGAUAGGAUCUCCUGCUGCAUGGUGGUGGUUGGAAAGUUUCGGCGGUUGUGGAUGUACUCGCGGGUUAUCAGCUUGUUGGUGAGGUAGUGGCUUACCAAGGCUUUGACGGGUAGCCGGCCUGAGAGGGUGACCGGCCACAUGGGGACUGAGAUACGGCCCAGACGCCUACGGGAGGCAGCAGUGGGGAAUAUUGCACAAUGGGCGGAAGCCUGAUGCAGCAACGCCGCGUGCGGGAUGACGGCCUUCGGGUCGUAAACCGCUUUCGCCUGUGACGAAGCGUGAGUGACGGUAAUGGGUAAAGAAGCACCGGCUAACUACGUG
RNAcentral lists this ribosomal RNA (468 nucleotides) under uncultured bacterium. RNAcentral describes it as "partial 16S ribosomal RNA". It matches the Rfam family "Bacterial small subunit ribosomal RNA", at positions 28 to 507 of the family's 1533-position model. The record is from RNAcentral.